RNAcentral lists this ribosomal RNA (460 nucleotides) under uncultured bacterium. Its description in RNAcentral is "partial 16S ribosomal RNA". It matches the Rfam family "Bacterial small subunit ribosomal RNA", at positions 338 to 795 of the family's 1533-position model. The record is from RNAcentral.
CCUACGGGUGGCAGCAGUGAGGAAUAUUGGUCAAUGGGCGAGAGUCUGACCCAGCAAAGUAGCGUGAAGGAUGACUGACCUCUGGGUUGUAAACUUCUUUUAUAAAGGAAUAAAACGAGGCACGUGUGCCUUGUUGCAUGUCCUUUAUGAAUAAGGAACGGCUAACUCCGUGCCAGCAGCCGCGGUAAUAAGAAGGCUCCGAGCGUUAUCCGGAUUGAUUGGGUUUAAAGGGAGCGUAGAUGGGUUGGUAAGUCAGUUGUGAAAGUUUGCGGCUCAACCGUAAAAUUGCAAUUGAUACUGGCAGUCUUGAGUACAGUUGAGGUAGGCGGAAUUCGUGGUGUAGCGGUGAAAUGCUUAGAUAUCACGAAGAACCCCGAUUGCGAAGGCAGCUUACUAAACUGUGACUGACAUUGAUGCUCGAAAGUGUGGGUAUCAAACAGGAUUAGAUACCCCAGUAGUC